This is a non-coding RNA of Trametes elegans, 95 nucleotides long. NCBI's taxonomy places the organism in Eukaryota, Fungi, Basidiomycota, Agaricomycetes, Polyporales, Polyporaceae. The record is from the annotation of a GenBank genome assembly.
GCCGCAUUGGCGUAGUGGUAUGCGCGCCCCACUUGUACCGAGCUGAUAAGCUUUGGGAUAUGGGGAGGUCACUCGUUCGACCCGGGUAUGUGGCA